This 460-nucleotide ribosomal RNA is filed under the name uncultured bacterium. RNAcentral's name for it is "partial 16S ribosomal RNA". It matches the Rfam family "Bacterial small subunit ribosomal RNA", at positions 338 to 795 of the family's 1533-position model. The record is from RNAcentral.
CCUACGGGUGGCAGCAGUGAGGAAUAUUGGUCAAUGGGCGCGAGCCUGAACCAGCCAAGUCGCGUGAGGGAUGACGGUCCUACGGAUUGUAAACCUCUUUUGCCGGGGAGCAAGCGUGCGUUCGUGAACGCACGUCGAGAGUACCCGGAGAAAAAGCAUCGGCUAACUCCGUGCCAGCAGCCGCGGUAAUACGGAGGAUGCGAGCGUUAUCCGGAUUUAUUGGGUUUAAAGGGUGCGUAGGCGGGAUGCCAAGUCAGCGGUAAAAAUGCGGUGCUCAACGCCGUCGAGCCGUUGAAACUGGGGUUCUUGAGUGGGCGAGAAGUAUGCGGAAUGCGUGGUGUAGCGGUGAAAUGCAUAGAUAUCACGCAGAACCCCGAUUGCGAAGGCAGCAUACCGGCGCCCUACUGACGCUGAGGCACGAAAGCGUGGGUAUCGAACAGGAUUAGAUACCCGAGUAGUC